Molecule: ribosomal RNA, 255 nt
Filed under: uncultured bacterium
Lineage: Bacteria
Description: partial 16S ribosomal RNA
Rfam family: Bacterial small subunit ribosomal RNA
Source: RNAcentral
UACAGAGACUGCAAGCGUUAUUCGGAGUUCACUGGGCGUAAAGGGUGCGCAGGCGGUUGGGUGUGUCAGAUGUGAAAUCCCGAGGCUCAACCUCGGAACUGCGUCUGAAACUACUCGACUAGAGUACUGGAGAGGGUAACGGAAUUCACGGUGUAGCAGUGAAAUGCGUAGAGAUCAUGAGGAAGACCAGUGGCGAAGGCGGGUCGUCUGGACAGUUCCUGACACUGAGGCACGAAGGCCAGGGGAGCAAACGGG